GACGGGGACCCGCACAAGUAGCGGAGCAUGUGGUUUAAUUCGAAGCAACGCGAAGAACCUUACCUAAGCUUGACAUCCCAAUGACAUCUCCUUAAUCGGAGAAUUCCCUUCGGGGACAUUGGUGACAGGUGGUGCAUGGUUGUCGUCAGCUCGUGUCGUGAGAUGUUGGGUUAAGUCCCGCAACGAGCGCAACCCUUGUCUUUAGUUGCCAUCAUU
RNAcentral lists this ribosomal RNA (216 nucleotides) under Clostridioides difficile. RNAcentral's name for it is "partial 16S ribosomal RNA". It matches the Rfam family "Bacterial small subunit ribosomal RNA", at positions 912 to 1125 of the family's 1533-position model. The record is from RNAcentral. Lineage: Bacteria; Bacillati; Bacillota; Clostridia; Peptostreptococcales; Peptostreptococcaceae.